Molecule: ribosomal RNA, 476 nt
Filed under: uncultured bacterium
Lineage: Bacteria
Description: SSU rRNA
Rfam family: Bacterial small subunit ribosomal RNA
Source: RNAcentral
AGGAUGAACGCUGGCGGCGUGCCUAACACAUGCAAGUCGAACGUCCUGUCUCGCAAGAGGCAGGGAGUGGCGGACGGGUGAGUACCACGUGGGUUAUCUACCGUGAGGUGAGGAAUACCGGCGAGAAAUCGCCGACAAGACCGCAUAGCCUCGGUGCAAGCCGAGGAAAGCUUUCUCGAGAGAGGGAGCGCCACACGAGGAGCCUGCGCCCGAUUAGCUAGCUGGUGGAGUAACGGUUCACCAGGGCGACGAUCGGUAGCUGGUCUGAGAGGACGAUCAGCCACACUGGGAUUGAGAACGGCCCAGACUCCUACGGGGGGCAGCAGUGAGGAAUUUUCGUCAAUGGGGGCAACCCUGAACGAGCAACGCCGCGUGCAGGAAGAAGGUUUUCGGAUCGUAAACUGCUUUUCGUCGGGGAAGAGAACGGACGGUACCGAGGAAUCAGCCCGGCUACUACGCGCCAGCAGCCGCGGUAA